This 484-nucleotide ribosomal RNA is filed under the name uncultured bacterium. Its description in RNAcentral is "partial 16S ribosomal RNA". It matches the Rfam family "Bacterial small subunit ribosomal RNA", at positions 28 to 523 of the family's 1533-position model. The record is from RNAcentral.
GACGAACGCUGGCGGCGUGCUUAACACAUGCAAGUCGAACGAUGAAGCCGGAGCUUGCUCUGGUGAAUUAGUGGCGAACGGGUGAGUAACACGUGAGUAACCUGCCCUUGACUCUGGGAUAACUGCUAGAAAUGGUAGCUAAUACCGGAUACGACCCUCGGAGGCAUCUUCAGGGGGUGGAAAGAAUUUCGGUCAAGGAUGGACUCGCGGCCUAUCAGCUAGUUGGUGAGGUAACGGCUCACCAAGGCGACGACGGGUAGCCGGCCUGAGAGGGUGACCGGCCACACUGGGACUGAGACACGGCCCAGACUCCUACGGGAGGCAGCAGUGGGGAAUAUUGCACAAUGGGCGCAAGCCUGAUGCAGCAACGCCGCGUAAGGGAUGACGGCCUUCGGGUUGUAAACCUCUUUUAGUAGGGAAGAAGCGAAAGUGACGGUACCUGCAGAAAAAGCACCGGCUAACUACGUGCCAGCAGCCGCAGUAA